GGGGCCGUUUUGGAUUUGACAGGGUGGCGCUAAGUAUGUUAGCAUGCAGUGCGUUGUACGGAGAGCACUUAAAAGAGAACGUUCAAAACAAUAAUUGGCGAAAAUAACUACGCCUUAGCUGCCUAAUUUAGAAUUACGUAAGCUUUUGUCUCGCUAACUGCCGCAAUGUUAGGUUAGCAUCAGAGGCAUCGAAAUAACAAUGCUAGCUUUUGUAGGGUACGAUACAAAAGCGAAACAAAGUACCUAAGGAGAAAGUUUAGGUCGGUUUCCAGCCCGACUGAUCCCGACAACUAAUUGGAAAAUAAGCAUGUAGAAGGUAUAAUUUAUCACACAACUGGACAAGGGUUCGAACCCCUUCGGCUCCACCA
This 368-nucleotide transfer-messenger RNA is filed under the name Pedobacter boryungensis. RNAcentral's name for it is "Standard tmRNA". It matches the Rfam family "transfer-messenger RNA". Rfam says of the family: Bacterial tmRNA, also known as 10Sa RNA or SsrA, is named for its dual tRNA and mRNA-like properties. The record is from RNAcentral. Lineage: Bacteria; Pseudomonadati; Bacteroidota; Sphingobacteriia; Sphingobacteriales; Sphingobacteriaceae.